RNAcentral lists this ribosomal RNA (449 nucleotides) under uncultured bacterium. Its description in RNAcentral is "bacterial SSU rRNA". It matches the Rfam family "Bacterial small subunit ribosomal RNA", at positions 64 to 507 of the family's 1533-position model. The record is from RNAcentral.
GAUGGGGCAUCGCAUGUAGCAAUACUGGCCGGCGACCGACAAACGGGUGCGGAACACGUACGCAACCUUCCUUUAAGCGGGGAAUAGCCCAGAGAAAUUUGGAUUAAUACCCCAUAGGAAUGUGGUCUCGCAUGAGACAGCAUUUAAAGAUUUAUCACUUAAAGAUGGGCGUGCGUCUGAUUAGGUAGUUGGUGAGGUAACGGCUCACCAAGCCAACGAUCAGUAACUGGCGUGAGAGCGCGACCAGUCACACGGGCACUGAGACACGGGCCCGACUCCUACGGGAGGCAGCAGUAAGGAAUAUUGGUCAAUGGACGGAAGUCUGAACCAGCCAUGCCGCGUGGAGGAUGAAGGCCCUCUGGGUUGUAAACUUCUUUUAUCUGGGACGAAACACUUCUUAUCUAAGGAGCUUGACGGUACCAGAGGAAUAAGCACCGGCUAACUCCGUG